CUCUCCCUGUGCGUCUUCUCUGUGUGUCUUCCUGGGAAUGUAUACCCUGAGUCUUGCUACGUCUUCCUGUGUUCCCAGUGCUCUUGUUUUUACCUGUGGCAUUUGAAUUAAAGCAAGCAACCAGUUGACAUGGAGUCUGCACCUGGGGUCAGAACUAGUCUCCAACAUAUUGCACAAGCAGAGCAUCAAAAAAUAUAUAGCCAGGACAUCCUUGGGAGGUCGACAAAGCUUCAUGACGACCACGCCAAAGGAUUCUGAAAACUGUUGAUCCCAGUUGCCUCGUGGCCGCUCUGUCUUACCUACAGCAAACAUGCAGCGGAUGUUUUUACUUGGCAGGACGGGGAAGUCUUUGAAACUGCAUCUAGACCGACUUAAAACAAAGAAAUAAACAACAUUUUUGUGG
Notolabrus celidotus (New Zealand spotty) is the source of this 403-nucleotide long non-coding RNA. RefSeq lists it as uncharacterized. The record is from RefSeq and is a predicted model, not a curated record. The transcript has 4 exons. NCBI's taxonomy places the organism in Eukaryota, Metazoa, Chordata, Actinopteri, Labriformes, Labridae.